CCAGUAAGAUGGCUGCGAAAGGAGGGUGAUCUUGAUUCCAGAAAAAAUGUUAGUCACGCUUUAGAUGAACCAGAGGAAAAGGAGGCACAAGGAGACCCUCGCAUGGGCUGUAGUUUGUGUUGUUUUCCCCGUCAAUCACUGCCGAAGACUAUACAGGGAAUUUGAUUGCAGUGUGUUGUGGAAAUCCCUAUACCCGCCGCCUGAAUAACGUUACCGCAAAUCUGCCAGCUUUGGGGAGUAAGACCCAUGAAGAAGCCUGGUCGUGGAUGAUCGGCAGCACUGUCCCUCAGCUGGAAAAAAACACCGACAUGGAACUUUAAGUGAGACCCUGCAGAGGUAUUCUGUGCUGUGGACCCUGUGGCUGGGCAUGGAGGCCUGCGGACUGCAGACUGGAUGACACGGUCCCCUGGGAGAGCUGAGGAGUGUCUGGCCGGGACACGGACGCCUAGCUGAGCUGACAGCCGCAGACAGAGAGAGAGAGAGAGGGCAAAAGAGAGUGCGCAGGGGCCCCUCCCACCAGAGAAGCACCUUUUCCCCGUCAACAGCCAGUCGGACUCUUUCUUGGUUUCUUCUACUGCGCC
Megalops cyprinoides (Indo-Pacific tarpon) is the source of this 581-nucleotide long non-coding RNA. RefSeq lists it as uncharacterized. The transcript is spliced from 3 exons. Lineage: Eukaryota; Metazoa; Chordata; Actinopteri; Elopiformes; Megalopidae. The record is from RefSeq and is a predicted model, not a curated record.